RNAcentral lists this long non-coding RNA (2787 nucleotides) under Cucumis sativus (cucumber). RNAcentral describes it as "long non-coding RNA (CSAT_LNC000181)". The record is from RNAcentral. Lineage: Eukaryota; Viridiplantae; Streptophyta; Magnoliopsida; Cucurbitales; Cucurbitaceae.
CGGCGUUUUGGGACGGAACCAAGAAACCGAGUCUGGGCGUCACCGUUCGGCUUUUGUGGGCAAGAAACUUCGAGAUCACUCAGAAUCGGACCACCCAGUAGCUAGAUGUCGACUUUCGAGGCCUCGGACCCCGUUCCAAGUCCGACCGUCCCUUUCUAGGCCAUUGUGCCUUUCUUCGGCGUUUUGGGACGGAACCAAGAAACCGAGUCUGGGGCGUCACCGUUCGGCUUUUGUGGGCAAGAAACUUCGAGAUCACUCAGAAUAGGACCACCCAGUAGCUAGAUGUGGACUUUCGAGGCCUCGGACCCCGUUCCAAGUCCGACCGUCCCUUUCCAGGCCAUUGUGCCUUUCUUCGGCGUUUUGGGACGGAACCAAGAAACCGAGUCUGCGGCGUCACCGUUCGGCGUUUUGUGGGCAAGAAACUUCGAGAUCACUCAGAAUCGGACCACCCAGUAGCUAGAUGUGGACUUUCGAGGCCUCGGACCCCGUUCCAAGUCCGACCGUCCCUUUCCAGGCCAUUGUGCCUUUCUUCGGCGUUUUAGGACGGAACCAAGAAACCGAGUCUGCGGCGUCACCGUUCGGCUUUUUGUGCGGCAAGAAACUUCGAGAUCACUCAGAAUCGGACACCCCAGUAGCUAGAUGUGGACUUUCGAGGCCUCGGACCCCGUUCCAAGUCCGACCGUCCCUUUCUAGGCCAUUGUGCCUUUCUUCGGCGUUUUGGGACGGAACCAAGAAACCGAGUCUGCGGCGUCACCGUUCGGCUUUUGUGGGCAAGAAACUUCGAGAUCACUAAGAAUGGAUCGGACCACCCAGUAGCUAGAUGUGGACUUUCGAGGCCUCGGACCCCGUUCCAAGUCCGACCGUCCCUUUCUAGGCCAUUGUGCCUUUCUUUCGGCGUUUUGGGACGGAACCAAAGAAACCGAGUCUGGCGGCGUCACCGUUCGGCUUUUGUGGGCAAGAAACUUCGAGAUCACUCAGAAAUCGGACCACCCAGUAGCUAGAUGUGGACUUUCGAGGCCUCGGACCCCGUUCCAAGUCCGACCGUCCCUCUUCAGGCCAUUGUGCCUUUCUUCGGCGUUUUGGGACGGAACCAAGAAACCGAGUCUGGGGCGUCACCGUUCGGCUUUUGUGGGCAAGAAACUUCGAGAUCACUCAGAAUCGGACCACCCAGUAGCUAGAUGUGGACUUUCGAGGCCUCGAACCCCGUUCCAAGUUCCGACCGUCCCUUUCCAGGCCAUUGUGCCUUUCUUCGGCGUUUUGGGACGGAACAAGAAACCGAGUCUGGGCGUCACCGUUCGGCUUUUGUGGGCAAGAAACUUCGAGAUCACUCAGAAUCGGACCACCCAGUAGCUAUUAGUGGACUUUCGAGGCCUCGGACCCCGUUCCAAGUCCGACCGUCCCUUUCUAGGCCAUUGUGCCUUUCUUCGGCGUUUUGGGACGGAACCAAGAAACCGAGUCGGGGCGUCACCGUUCGGCUUUUGUGGGCAAGAAACUUCGAGAUCACUCAGAAUCGGACCACCCAGUAGCUAGAUGUGGACUUUCGAGGCCUCGGACCCCCGUUCCAAGUCCGACCGUCCCUUUCUAGGCCAUUGUGCCUUUCUUCGGCGCUUUGGGACGAACCAAGAAACCGAGUCUGGGGCGUCACCGUUCGGCUUUUGUGGGCAAGAAACUUCGAGAUCACUCAGAAUCGGACCACCCAGUAGCUAGAUGUGGACUUUCGAGGCCUCGGACCCGUUCCAAGUCCGACCGUCCCUUUCCAGGCCAUUGUGCCUUUCUUCGGCGUUUUGGGACGGAACCAAGAAACCGAGUCUGCGGCGUCACCGUUCGGCUUUUGUGGGCAAGAAACUUCGAGAUCACUAAGAAUCGGACUCGGACCACCCAGUAGCUAGAUGUGGACUUUCGAGGCCUCGGACCCCGUUCCAAGUCCGACCGUCCCUUUCUAGGCCAUUGUGCCUUUUCUUUGCGUUUUGGGACGGAACCAAGAAACCGAGUCUGGGCCGUCACCGUUCGGCUUUUGUGGGCAAGAAACUUCGAGAUCACUCAGAAUCGGACCACCCAGUAGCUAGAUGUGGACUUUCGAGGCCUCGGACCCCGUUCCAAGUCCGACCGUCCCUUUCUAGGCCAUUGUGCCUUUCUUCGGCGUUUUGGGACGGAACCAAGAAACCGAGUCUGGGGCGUCACCGUUCGGCUUUUGUGGGCAAGAAACUUCGAGAUCACUCAGAAUCGGACCACCCAGUAGCUAGAUGUGGACUUUCGAGGCCUCGGACCCCGUUCCAAGUUCGACCGUCCCUUUCCAGGCCAUUGUGCCUUUCUUCGGCGUUUUGGGACGGAACCAAGAAACCGAGUCUGGGCGUCACCGUUCGGCUUUUGUGGGCAAGAAACUUCGAGAUCACUCAGAAUCGGACCACCCAGUAGCUAGAUGUGGACUUUCGAGGCCUCGGACCCGUUCCAAGUCCGACCGUCCCUUUCUAGGCCAUUGUGCCUUUCUUCGGGUUUGGGACGGAACCAAGAAACCGAGUCUGGGCGUCACCGUUCGGCUUUUGUGGGCAAGAAACUUCGAGAUCACUCAGAAUCGGACCACCCAGUAGCUAGAUGUGGACUUUCGAGGCCUCGGACCCCGUUCCAAGUCCGACCGUCCCUUUCCAGGCCAUUGUGCCUUUCUUCGGCGUUUUGGGACGGAACCAAGAAACCGAGUCUGGGGCGUCACCGUUCGGCUUUUGUGGGCAAGAAACUUCGAGAUCACUCAGAAUCGGACCACCCAGUAGCUAGAUGUGGACUUUCGAGGCU